Molecule: ribosomal RNA, 252 nt
Filed under: uncultured bacterium
Lineage: Bacteria
Description: partial 16S ribosomal RNA
Rfam family: Bacterial small subunit ribosomal RNA
Source: RNAcentral
GUCCUAGCCUAACGAUGUUCACUGGUGUGCCCGCGCACGCGGGUGUGCCGAAGCUAACGCAUUAAGUGAACCGCCUGGGAGUACGGUCGCAAGGCUGAAACUCAAGGAAUUGACGGGCCCGCACAAGCGGUGGAGCAUGUGGUUCAAUUCGACGCAACGCGAAGAACCUUACCUGGGCUCGAAGUGUCGUGGACAGCCGGUGAAAGCCGGUCUCCCGCAAGGGCCGCGAUAGAGGUGCUGCAUGGCUGUCGU